Molecule: ribosomal RNA, 253 nt
Filed under: uncultured bacterium
Lineage: Bacteria
Description: partial 16S ribosomal RNA
Rfam family: Bacterial small subunit ribosomal RNA
Source: RNAcentral
UACGUAGGGUGCAGGCGUUAAUCGGAAUUACUGGGCGUAAAGCGUGCGCAGGCGGUUUCUUAAGUCAGAUGUGAAAGCCCCGGGCUUAACCUGGGAACUGCGUUUGAAACUGGGAGACUUGAGUGUGGCAGAGGGGGGUGGAAUUCCACGUGUAGCAGUGAAAUGCGUAGAUAUGUGGAGGAACACCGAUGGCGAAGGCGGCCCACUGGCUCGAUACUGACGCUGAGGUGCGAAAGCGUGGGGAGCAAACAGG